This 102-nucleotide ribosomal RNA is filed under the name Neurospora crassa OR74A. The record is from RNAcentral. Lineage: Eukaryota; Fungi; Ascomycota; Sordariomycetes; Sordariales; Sordariaceae.
UGGAAAACUCGGGAUCCCGUCCGCUCUCCCAUAGAUAAGCCACUAAUCGCCUGACUAGUAGUUGGGUCGGUGACGACCAGCGAAUCCCAGGUGCUGUAUGUU